This is a long non-coding RNA of Raphanus sativus (radish), 868 nucleotides long. RefSeq lists it as uncharacterized. The transcript is spliced from 4 exons. Lineage: Eukaryota; Viridiplantae; Streptophyta; Magnoliopsida; Brassicales; Brassicaceae. The record is from RefSeq and is a predicted model, not a curated record.
AGUGAGAAUGAAUUUUUUUCAAAUGGGUUAUAUUAGAAUACUUUCCUAGAGGAAGAGAUCGAGUUUCCUUUAUAAUUUCGUCUUGGAUUGGCAGGAAGCAGCUUCAGUGUCGGAGAUCAAAAUCAUGCAAUUCAGAAGCCAAAAACUUCACUGUGGGACUCUUCGCUUAGGCUGAAAUCAGGCGUCCUCCUGUGGAGAAACCGGUAUUCUUUAGUGAGGAAGGAGCGUCCUAGGCAGAGGAGCUGAGACGGAACAAGAAGAAAUGAAGAAGCAAGGCCGCGGCAGCGAAUCCCUCGUUUCUGGGACUUCUGAUUCAGUUGCUCCUAGAGAGCUGAUGCAACAAGGAGGACUCUGAGAAGUACAGCAAACGAACUGUGAAGACUCGGAGUUUCUCUUUCAACAGCCUCAUUCUGCUCCUUUCUUCUCAGACCGGUUUCUGGCCUUUUAUAUUUGUCAGGAAUGUUCUUCUGGUGAAUUCAAGUGCAGACCACUUUUUCCAUUUUUCUAAAGUUAGUAAAUCGAUGGCUUACCCAGACAAGAUAUUAAGAAUUGGCAAGAGUUAUGUUGGUAGUAUAAGACUUGUGUUCAAGAAUUGAAGAGAUUCUGUGUAAAAUUCUCAAUGAUGAUGAGUUCCUGAAGUACUUAAAUCGAUGGCUUACCCACGUCGUCUUAGGUGUUGCAUAUACGAAUAUAAUUAAUUCUCUAUGAUGAUGAGUUCCUGAAGUACUUAAAAGACCAUCAAGAGAACUGGUUUGAGAGAAUGUAGUGGUAUUUACGUAUAUGAGUGCUGGAACUCGAAGCUCUUAGCUUAUUUACUUCUUCACUUUUGAUGUUUUGAUUUGAUCUAAGCUUCUUAUUAAAUAAUUGA